RNAcentral lists this long non-coding RNA (318 nucleotides) under Setaria italica (foxtail millet). RNAcentral's name for it is "long non-coding RNA (SITA_LNC003810)". The record is from RNAcentral. Lineage: Eukaryota; Viridiplantae; Streptophyta; Magnoliopsida; Poales; Poaceae.
AACAGCACUUUCAUCACAGAAAUAGCAUCUAGAGCACCGCACAAUAAUAUAAGCGCGACCACAAGAUUUGUGAGACGAGAUAGGAGGAGGGGUUAAUGCUUUAUGUACUACAACAAUAGCAGGAAGCCGAUCAACCAAUAGAUUAGAUGGGAAGUGAGGGAGGAACAACAGAUCUGAAGCCCUACACAAAAAAAGACUCGAUUUUAACCAUGGUGCAUAUCAGAAACUAUUAUGAAUCUACAGAAAUAAAAAUCCAAGGCCACAGAAGUUAGAUCUCUACCUUGAAACAACCAAAGGAUGCAAAUCCAGUGAGGAUCU